Molecule: ribosomal RNA, 1469 nt
Filed under: uncultured Bordetella sp.
Lineage: Bacteria; Pseudomonadati; Pseudomonadota; Betaproteobacteria; Burkholderiales; Alcaligenaceae
Description: partial 16S-23S ribosomal RNA intergenic spacer
Rfam family: Bacterial small subunit ribosomal RNA
Source: RNAcentral
GUUCGAUUCAUCCAGAUUGAACACUGGCGGGAUGCACAUGCAAGUCGAACGGCAGCACGAACCGGUCUGGUGGCGAGUGGCGAACGGGUGAAGUAAUGUAUCGGAACGUGCCUAGUAGCGGGGGAUAUUAACUGCGCGAAAGCGUAGCCUAAUACCGCAUACGCCCUUCGGGGAAAGCGAGACGCUACGGGCCUCACUAUUAAGAGCGGCCAGAUAUCGGAUUAGCUGGUUGGUGGGGUAACGGCUCACCAAGGCGAUCCGUGAGCUGGUUUGAGGACGACCAGCCACACUGGGACUGAGACCUGGCCCAGACUCCUACGGGAGGCAGCAGUGAAUUUUGGACAAUGGGGAAACCCUGAUCAACCGCAUCGCGUACGAUGAAGGCCUUCGGUUAUCGCAUUUGGCAGGAAAAAACGGCACGGGAUAAUACCCCGUGCAACUGACGGUACCUGCAGAAUAAGCGCAAAAUAACUACGUUGCCAGCAGCCGCGAUAAUACGUAAGUGCAAGCGUUAAUCGGAAUUACUGGGCGUAAAGCGUGCGCAGGCGGUUCGGAAAGAAAGAUGUGAAAUCCCCAGAGCUUAACUUUGGAACUGCAUUUUUAACUACCGAGCUAGAGUGUGUCAGAGGGAGGUGGAAUUCCGCGUGUAGCAGUGAAAUGCGUAGAUAUGCGGAGGAACUUGCACCGAUGUGAAGGCAGCCUCCUGGGAUAACACUGACGCUCAUGCACGGCGUGGGGAGCAAACGGGAUUAGAUACUGGUAGUCCACGCCUAAACGAUGUCAACUAGCUGUUGGGGUAUUCAGACGCCCAUUGCGCAGCUAACGCGUGAAGUUGACCGCCUGGGGAGAGCUACGGUCGCAAGAUUAGAAACUCAAAGGAAUUGACGGGGACCCGCACAAGCGGUGGAUCGUCUGGAUUAAUUCGAUGCAACACGAAAAACCUUACCUACCCUUGACAUGCUCUGGAAUCCCGAAGAGAUUUGGGAGUGCUCGCAAAGAGAACCGGAACACAGGUGUGCUGCAUUAACUUGUCGUCAGCUCGUGUAUUGAGAUGUUGGGUUAAGUCCGCAACAGGCGCAACCCUUGUCAUUAGUUGCUACGAAAGGGCACGCCUAAUGCCAAGUUCUGGUGACAAACCGGAGGAAGGUGGGGAUGACGUCAGGUCCUCAUGGCCCAUAUGGGUAGGGCUUCACACGUCAUACAAUGGUCGGGACAGAGGUCGCCAACUUGCGAGGGAAUAAUCCCGAAACCCGAUCGUAGUCCGGAUCGCAGUCUGCAACUUCGACUGCGUGAAGUCCCGGAAAUCGCUAGUAAUCGCGGAUCAGCAUGUCGCGGUGAAUACGUUCCCGGGUCUUGUACCACACCGCCCGUCACACCAUGGGAGUGGGUUUCAGAAGUAGUUAGCCCUAACCGUAAGGGCGAUUACCACGGUAGGAUUCAUGACUGGGGUGAAGUCGUAACAAAGAUGG